GGGUCAGUAGGUUGGUCGUGCCACCGGUACGUACUGGUCUCACUGAUUCCUCCUUCCUGAAGAACCGUAAUGCCAUUAAUUUGGUGUUGCGGGGAAACCGGACUGUUACUUUGAAAAAAUUAGAGUGUUUAAAGCAAGCUAACGCUUGAAUACAUUAGCAUGGAAUAAUGAAAUAGGACGAUCGAUCCUAUUUUGUUGGUUUCUAGGAUUGACGUA
Molecule: ribosomal RNA, 216 nt
Filed under: Glomeromycotina sp.
Lineage: Eukaryota; Fungi; Glomeromycota
Description: partial small subunit ribosomal RNA
Rfam family: Eukaryotic small subunit ribosomal RNA (bases 40-216)
Source: RNAcentral